CGCGGCCUAGCAGCUUGUGGGKGGGGUGAUGGCCUACCAAGGCGUCGACGGGUAGCCGGCCUGAGAGGGCGACCGGCCACAUUGGGACUGAGAUACGGCCCAAACUCCUACGGGAGGCAGCAGUGGGGAAUAUUGCACAAUGGGCGGAAGCCUGAUGCAGCAACGCCGCGUGCGGGAUGACGGCCUUCGGGUUGUAAACCGCUUUCAGCAGGGACGAAGCGCAAGUGACGGUACCUGCAGAAGAAGCACCGGCUAACUACGUGCCAGCAGCCGCGGUGAUACGUAGGGUGCGAGCGUUGUCCGGAUUUAUUGGGCGUAAAGAGCCUGUAGGCGGUUGGUUGCGUCGAAAGUGCAAACUCAGGGCUUAACUCUGAGCCUGCUUUCGAUACGGGCUGACUGGAGGAAGGUAGGGGAGAAUGGAAUUCCCGGUGGAGCGGUGGAAUGCGCAGAUAUCGGGAGGAACACCAGUGGCGAAGGCGGUUCUCUGGACCUUUCCUGACGCUGAGAAGCGAAAGCGUGGGGAGCAAACAGGCUUAGAUACCCUGGUAGUCCACGCUGUAAACGGUGGGUACUAGGUGUGGGGGACAUUCCACGUUCUCUGUGCCGUAGCUAACGCAUUAAGUACCCCGCCUGGGGAGUACGG
RNAcentral lists this ribosomal RNA (643 nucleotides) under uncultured bacterium. Its description in RNAcentral is "bacterial SSU rRNA". It matches the Rfam family "Bacterial small subunit ribosomal RNA", at positions 232 to 885 of the family's 1533-position model. The record is from RNAcentral.